RNAcentral lists this ribosomal RNA (468 nucleotides) under uncultured bacterium. RNAcentral's name for it is "bacterial SSU rRNA". It matches the Rfam family "Bacterial small subunit ribosomal RNA", at positions 28 to 507 of the family's 1533-position model. The record is from RNAcentral.
GAUGAACGCUGGCGGCGUGCCUAACACAUGUAAGUCGAACGGAAUUUACAUGAAGCCUAGCGAUUGUAAAUUUAGUGGCGGACGGGUGAGUAACGCGUGGGUAACCUGCCUCGUACUGGGGGACAACAGUUGGAAACGACUGCUAAUACCGCAUAAGCGCACAGCUUCGCAUGAAGCAGUGUGAAAAACUCCGGUGGUACAAGAUGGACCCGCGUCUGAUUAGCUGGUUGGUGAGGUAACGGCCCACCAAGGCGACGAUCAGUAGCCGGCCUGAGAGGGUGAACGGCCACAUUGGGACUGAGACACGGCCCAAACUCCUACGGGAGGCAGCAGUGGGGAAUAUUGCACAAUGGGGGAAACCCUGAUGCAGCAACGCCGCGUGAGUGAAGAAGUAUUUCGGUAUGUAAAGCUCUAUCAGCAGGAAAGAAAAUGACGGUACCUGACUAAGAAGCCCCGGCUAACUACGUG